AUUGAACGCUGGCGGCAGGCUUAACACAUGCAAGUCGAGCGAGCGGCGGACGGGUGAGUAAUGUCUGGGAAACUGCCUGAUGGAGGGGGAUAAAUACUGGAAACGGUAGCUAAUACCGUAUAUCAUUAGAUGUGCCCUGAUGGGUAUAGCUAGUAGGUGGGGUAAUGGUUCACCUAGGCGACGAUCCCUAGCUGGUCUGAGAGGUGGACCAGCCAGACUGGAACGGAGACACGGACCAGACUCCUACGGGAGGCAGCAGUGGGGAAUAUUGCACAAUGGGCGCGAGCCUGAUGCAGCCAUGCGGCGGGUAUGAAGAAGGCCUUCGGGUUGUAAAGCACUUUCAGCGAGGAGGCGUUACUCGCAGAAGAAGCAACGGCUAACUCCGUGCCAGCAGCCGCGGUAAUUC
This 406-nucleotide ribosomal RNA is filed under the name uncultured bacterium. RNAcentral's name for it is "partial 16S ribosomal RNA". It matches the Rfam family "Bacterial small subunit ribosomal RNA", at positions 30 to 526 of the family's 1533-position model. The record is from RNAcentral.